AGCGAACGCUGGCGGCAGGCUUAACACAUGCAAGUCGAACGGGCGUAGCAAUACGUCAGUGGCAGACGGGUGAGUAACGCGUGGGAACGUACCUUUUGGUUCGGAACAACCCAGGGAAACUUGGGCUAAUACCGGAUAAGCCCUUACGGGGAAAGAUUUAUCGCCGAAAGAUCGGCCCGCGUCUGAUUAGCUAGUUGGUGUGGUAACGGCGCACCAAGGCGACGAUCAGUAGCUGGUCUGAGAGGAUGAUCAGCCACAUUGGGACUGAGACACGGCCCAAACUCCUACGGGAGGCAGCAGUGGGGAAUAUUGGACAAUGGGCGCAAGCCUGAUCCAGCCAUGCCGCGUGAGUGAUGAAGGCCCUAGGGUUGUAAAGCUCUUUUGUGCGGGAAGAUAAUGACGGUACCGCAAGAAUAAGCCCCGGCUAACUUCGUGCCAGCAGCCGCCGUAAC
This 452-nucleotide ribosomal RNA is filed under the name uncultured bacterium. RNAcentral describes it as "bacterial SSU rRNA". It matches the Rfam family "Bacterial small subunit ribosomal RNA", at positions 29 to 524 of the family's 1533-position model. The record is from RNAcentral.